Molecule: ribosomal RNA, 1025 nt
Filed under: Lacticaseibacillus paracasei
Lineage: Bacteria; Bacillati; Bacillota; Bacilli; Lactobacillales; Lactobacillaceae
Description: bacterial SSU rRNA
Rfam family: Bacterial small subunit ribosomal RNA
Source: RNAcentral
ACGAGUGGCGGACGGGUGAGUAACACGUGGGUAACCUGCCCUUAAGUGGGGGAUAACAUUUGGAAACAGAUGCUAAUACCGCAUAGAUCCAAGAACCGCAGGGUUCUUGGCUGAAAGAUGGCGUAAGCUAUCGCUUUUGGAUGGACCCGCGGCGUAUUAGCUAGUUGGUGAGGUAAUGGCUCACCAAGGCGAUGAUACGUAGCCKAACUGAGAGGUUGAUCGGMCACAUUGGGACUGAGACACGGCCCAAACUCCUACGGGAGGCAGCAGUAGGGAAUCUUCCACAAUGGACGCAAGUCUGAUGGAGCAACGCCGCGUGAGUGAAGAAGGCUUUCGGGUCGUAAAACUCUGUUGUUGGAGAAGAAUGGUCGGCAGAGUAACUGUUGYCGGCGUGACGGUAUCCAACCAGAAAGCCACGGCUAACUACGUGCCAGCAGCCGCGGUAAUACGUAGGUGGCAAGCGUUAUCCGGAUUUAUUGGGCGUAAAGCGAGCGCAGGCGGUUUUUUAAGUCUGAUGUGAAAGCCCUCGGCUUAACCGAGGAAGCGCAUCGGAAACUGGGAAACUUGAGUGCAGAAGAGGACAGUGGAACUCCAUGUGUAGCGGUGAAAUGCGUAGAUAUAUGGAAGAACACCAGUGGCGAAGGCGGCUGUCUGGUCUGUAACUGACGCUGAGGCUCGAAAGCAUGGGUAGCGAACAGGAUUAGAUACCCUGGUAGUCCAUGCCGUAAACGAUGAAUGCUAGGUGUUGGAGGGUUUCCGCCCUUCAGUGCCGCAGCUAACGCAUUAAGCAUUCCGCCUGGGGAGUACGACCGCAAGGUUGAAACUCAAAGGAAUUGACGGGGGCCCGCACAAGCGGUGGAGCAUGUGGUUUAAUUCGAAGCAACGCGAAGAACCUUACCAGGUCUUGACAUCUUUUGAUCACCUGAGAGAUCAGGUUUCCCCUUCGGGGGCAAAAUGACAGGUGGUGCAUGGUUGUCGUCAGCUCGUGUCGUGAGAUGUUGGGUUAAGUCCCGCAACGAGCGCAA